Molecule: long non-coding RNA, 232 nt
Filed under: Coturnix japonica (Japanese quail)
Lineage: Eukaryota; Metazoa; Chordata; Aves; Galliformes; Phasianidae
Description: lncRNA (ENSCJPG00005009901.1)
Source: RNAcentral
CCAGAGAAGAACACUUUGUGCUUUAAUACUGAUAAAGAAUUAUUUUGUAUAAUAUUUUUUCAUCUAUCACGGAGUCUGGUAAUCAUUUUCCCUACAAAAUCCAUCAUAUGACAUGUGUGCCCUCAUGGAAUUGCCCAGAGAAGAAUGCAAGAUCAUACAUCUUUUGGAAAGAGUAGUUCCUGAGCUUCACCAGUUCACUGUAGACCUAGGCAUCCAAGUUUAUGGUAUCUAG